RNAcentral lists this transfer RNA (72 nucleotides) under Mycoemilia scoparia. It matches the Rfam family "tRNA". Rfam says of the family: Transfer RNA (tRNA) molecules are approximately 80 nucleotides in length. Their secondary structure includes four short double-helical elements and three loops (D, anti-codon, and T loops). Lineage: Eukaryota; Fungi; Kickxellomycota; Kickxellomycetes; Kickxellales; Kickxellaceae. The record is from Rfam by way of RNAcentral.
GGAUCUGUGGUCUAGCGGUAUGAUUCUCGCUUUGGGUGCGAGAGGUCCCGGGUUCAAUCCCCGGCAGGUCCC